Molecule: long non-coding RNA, 1836 nt
Filed under: Nicotiana tabacum (common tobacco)
Lineage: Eukaryota; Viridiplantae; Streptophyta; Magnoliopsida; Solanales; Solanaceae
Description: long non-coding RNA (NTAB_LNC003365)
Source: RNAcentral
AAAGACAAAGCGGGUAAGAGAAGAGUGCGCCGCAAAAUGCAGAUCUUCGUAAAAACCCUAACCGGGAAGACAAUCACGCUCGAGGUUGAAUCGAGCGACACCAUUGACAAUGUCAAAGCUAAGAUUCAAGACAAAGAAGGUACUUACGAUAGAUCGUUAUUCUCCGUCAUCUCUUUGUUCUUUGUAUCAGUAAUUUGUUUCUGACGCCAUUUGAUUUUCAUUUUUUAGGUAUUCCACCGGACCAGCAGCGGUUGAUCUUUGCCGGAAAGCAGCUCGAAGAUGGACGUACUCUUGCUGAUUAUAACAUCCAGAAAGGUACUAUAGUAACGCUAAUAUGUACAUGGACUUAGCAGUGUAAUAGUUAGUUAUAUCUGUUUGAUGAUUUUAAUGAUGAUUUAUCGGGUCAAUUUUUUAGAGUCAACUUUGCAUUUGGUUUUGAGGCUUCGUGGAGGGAUUAUUGAGCCUUCUCUGAUGGCUUUGGCGAGGAAGUACAACCAGGAUAAGAUGAUUUGCCGCAAGUAAGAUUUUUUUCUACAUUUACUACUGUAAUUUGCUUUUGUAUGUGGUAAUUGUGGUGUCUUCUACAGUGCAUGCAUGUAUUCCAUGUAAUAGUGGUCUUCUAUGUAUGAAAAAUUAUUUGAUGCAUUGGAAAUUCAAAUUGUAUAUUCCUUUCAUAUUCAAACGAAAUUGUUUCGAUCCCUAUUUUGGAGGUUAAUUCUGAUUAUGCUAUUCAGAUACAAUAUCUAUUGAGCUGAUCUAUGAUGUGAUUAUUAGCUGCCUCUAGUAAGAAUAUUAAGGAUUUCUCUCUUGUAAAGCUCAGAGCUAGCUCGAAUUCUGUCUAAGUACUCAUAAUUUUCAUUUUAUUCAUGCUUUUCUACUCUCGUAGUUUGGUUAAUGCCGUUGGAGAACUUUGCUUUUCUGGGAAUGUGCUGUUCAAGUGAAAAGAAAACAGCUGACUAUUACUUUGUUUGCCUCUUAUUUGCCCAUUGAUUCGACAGUGCAUCUCAUUGUAUUUAUCUUUAUUUGUAACUGAAAAAGGUCUACCUUCAGCAUUUAUGUCAUCGGGGUCCCCUGAGUACGAUACAUGUAAGGAUUGACAUUUUCGACAUUCCUUAACUAGCUAUAUCAUCUGUUCUGCACUCGGGUCAACCAAUUAGUUGGUUGAGAUAGUGUGGACAGUUAGGUUCCCUUAAACAAUGUGUCUCAAGAUUCAUAGGGUUAUUACUUUUACUUAAUAUAGUGCCUUUAUAAGUUAAUUUUGUGGGUCAGUUGUCAUUGUUUGACAAUAGUGCAGCUUUCGAAAACUGUUAGCAGGUUAAGAUAGAGACCCUUGUUACCUUCCAUAAUACUGAGACUAAGUUUCUUUUUCCCCUGUUAGACUUUGCGCUUAUGGCUUAACUUUUUUUCCUAUGGCUUGUGUUAUAAACCGUGAUGGUGAUUACGUAAUCCUGGAACCUAACCACUUGUUUUAGGUGCUAUGCUCGCCUGCAUCCUCGUGCUGUUAACUGCAGGAAGAAAAAAUGUGGGCACAGCAACCAGGUUUGUAGAUGAUAGGUGUAUGUUACACUUCCUUUGCCUCCCAAUACUGAUUAUGGCACUCACCAACUUUUCUUGCCUUGCAGCUGAGGCCAAAGAAGAAGAUCAAGUAGGCGUGAUGUCUUUUCUAAGCUUAAAUCAAUUUUGUGUGUUGCAGCUAUAUUGCCAGUCCGUUGUUUUUACAGUUUUCAGUCCUGCUUCAACUUGAUGUCAUGAAUAGACAAGCAUUUGUUUUGAACAUCUAAUUAUUGGAUAAGAUAUCUUUGUGCAUUCAAUAUAUGUCUGUUUCGAUGGAGUUUA